ACGCAGACGUCCGGGUUUCGUGGCAGGCGAACCGUUUGUAGAACUUGGUUCGUUGUCGACGAAACCUGCACGAUCUGCAA
Molecule: microRNA precursor, 80 nt
Filed under: Harpegnathos saltator (Jerdon's jumping ant)
Lineage: Eukaryota; Metazoa; Arthropoda; Insecta; Hymenoptera; Formicidae
Description: mir-981 microRNA precursor family
Rfam family: mir-981 microRNA precursor family
Source: Rfam by way of RNAcentral